This is a long non-coding RNA of Felis catus (domestic cat), 692 nucleotides long. RefSeq lists it as uncharacterized. NCBI's taxonomy places the organism in Eukaryota, Metazoa, Chordata, Mammalia, Carnivora, Felidae. The record is from RefSeq and is a predicted model, not a curated record. The transcript is spliced from 3 exons.
AGAAGGAAAACUUCGGUAGGUCCUCUUCACAGAUGGGAUAGGAGAAAUUCAAAAUGGACGAUCCUUUAGUGAAGAGAGCUAUGUCAAGAAACAGCUCUUUGAUGUCCUCUCCUUAAAGGGCACAAGGACUGGGUUAUGAUGUACAGGUGGUUUACGUGAUGGUGUGUGUGGCUUUGAAGAUAAACUCUGGGACUAUUCUUCAAAUGCUGGGCACGCUGAAAAGGAAUUCCCUCCUGCUUCUGGAAAUCAUGAACUGGGAAAAAGCUAAGGACUUUGUCCUUGGCGUCUGGUGCUGUGGAAUAUGAAGCAUAAGAACAUGGACUCAAUGCCAAACACUAACCCAGGCAUGGAAAGGUUUGAGAUGGGGUCCAGGGACCAAGAGGAUAGAGGUAAAAAGGUGGACAUUGAGGGCUGUUGGGAGAGAGUGGGCAUAGGGUGGGGGGCAUGUAAGGGGAAGAGAAAGUGUGGGCUCAGAGAAGCUGGCCAUCCAGGACCAGUGGGCUGCCUACAGGGCUCACUCAGACCUCUGUGCUGAGGGGGGAACAAUCACUUGUUCAUAGGGAUCCAAGCAAUCCCUGAAAUUAAAAAAUACUAAAAACUUGGGGUGUCUGGAUGGCUCAGUCGUUUAAGAGUCCAACUCUUCAUUUCUGCUCAGGUCAUGAUCUCAUGGUUUGUGGGUUUGAGCCCUACAU